GAUGAACGCUAGCUACAGGCUUAACACAUGCAAGUCGAGGGGAAACGAUAUUGGAAGCUUGCUUCCGAUAGGCGUCGACCGGCGCACGGGUGAGUAACGCGUAUCCAACCUGCCCAUCACUUGGGGAUAACCUUGCGAAAGUAAGACUAAUACCCGAUGAUAUCCCUAGAAGACAUCUGAAAGGGAUUAAAGAUUUAUCGGUGAUGGAUGGGGAUGCGUCUGAUUAGCUUGUUGGCGGGGUAAUGGCCCACCAAGGCGACGAUCAGUAGCCGACCUGAGAGGAAGGUCCCCCCACAUUGGAACUGAGACACGGUCCAAACUCCUACGGG
RNAcentral lists this ribosomal RNA (329 nucleotides) under uncultured bacterium. RNAcentral's name for it is "bacterial SSU rRNA". It matches the Rfam family "Bacterial small subunit ribosomal RNA", at positions 28 to 345 of the family's 1533-position model. The record is from RNAcentral.